RNAcentral lists this unclassified non-coding RNA (334 nucleotides) under soil metagenome. RNAcentral's name for it is "partial contains 5.8S ribosomal RNA, internal transcribed spacer 2, and large subunit ribosomal RNA". The stretch from base 1 to 120 matches the Rfam family "5.8S ribosomal RNA", at positions 35 to 154 of the family's 154-position model. The record is from RNAcentral.
GAUGAAGAACGUAGCGAAAUGCGAUAAGUAAUGUGAAUUGCAGAAUUCAGUGAAUCAUCGAAUCUUUGAACGCACAUUGCGCCCGCCAGUAUUCUGGCGAGCAUGCCUGUUCGAGCGUCAUUUCAACCAUCAAGCCCCAGGCUUGUGUUGGAGCCCUGCGGCUGCCGCAGCCCCCCAAAACCAGUGGCGGGCUCGCUAUCACACCGAGUGCAGUAGUUUACUCUUCGCUCAGGGCGUGUGGCGGGUGCUAGCCGUGAAACCCCCAACUUCUCAAGGUUGACCUCGGAUCAGGUAGGAAUACCCGCUGAACUUAAGCAUAUCAAUAAGCGGAGGA